UACGUAGGUGGCAAGCGUUGUCCGGAUUUACUGGGUGUAAAGGGCGUGCAGCCGGAGAGACAAGUCAGAUGUGAAAUCCACGGGCUCAACCCGUGAACUGCAUUUGAAACUGUUUCCCUUGAGUGUCGGAGAGGUAAUCGGAAUUCCUAGUGUAGCGGUGAAAUGCGCAGAUAUUAGGAAGAACACCAGUGGCGAAGGCGGAUUACUGGACGAUAACUGACGGUGAGGCGCGAAAGCGUGGGGAGCAAACAGG
This 253-nucleotide ribosomal RNA is filed under the name uncultured bacterium. Its description in RNAcentral is "partial 16S ribosomal RNA". It matches the Rfam family "Bacterial small subunit ribosomal RNA", at positions 524 to 776 of the family's 1533-position model. The record is from RNAcentral.